This 301-nucleotide ribosomal RNA is filed under the name uncultured bacterium. Its description in RNAcentral is "partial 16S ribosomal RNA". It matches the Rfam family "Bacterial small subunit ribosomal RNA", at positions 509 to 809 of the family's 1533-position model. The record is from RNAcentral.
CAGUCGCCACGGGAAUACAGAGGGUGCGAGCGUUAAUCGGAUUUACUGGGCGUAAAGCGUGCGUAGGCGGCUUCUUAAGUCGGAUGUGAAAUCCCUGAGCUUAACUUAGGAAUUGCAUUCGAUACUGGGAAGCUAGAGUAUGGGAGAGGAUGGUAGAAUUCCAGGUGUAGCGGUAAAAUGCGUAGAGAUCUGGAGGAAUACCGAUGGCGAAGGCAGCCAUCUGGCCUAAUACUGACGCUGAGGUACGAAAGCAUGGGGAGCAAACAGGAUUAGAUACCCCCGUAGUCCCUGUCUCUUAUAA